Phragmites australis (common reed) is the source of this 967-nucleotide RNA transcript. RefSeq lists it as uncharacterized. The record is from RefSeq and is a predicted model, not a curated record. The transcript is spliced from 5 exons. NCBI's taxonomy places the organism in Eukaryota, Viridiplantae, Streptophyta, Magnoliopsida, Poales, Poaceae.
UGUUCGUGCCCUCUGGUCCGGCCCCCAGCAGAGACGAGAGGAUCGGAUCCCCAAGAAGAAACGAAUCAACCUUGGCCGGCCGGCGCGCGGCUCGGUUGUGGCUUCCAGCUAUCGCCGGUCGGCCGCCGGUCCCGAUGCUACGAGCUAGAUCCAAGCCAAGAGACGACGGCCGGCUGGGGAGUCCUGACUCCGACAGACUGCACUGAUAGAUUGCAAAUAUGGUGAAGAAAAAGGGAAGCCGUAGCUCUGAUGAUGGAAAACCAUGGAAGUGUGGUUGUGGUACUGUGCACAAACCUACUAAAUAUCGGUUUUUUAACCUGCAAGCAUUCCAGUGCAGAAACUGUCAUACAAAGCUUGCUCUGGACUUCAAGUUCUGCUUGGGCAAAAUUGAAGUUGAUGGGAAAUCAUUGAUAGGAGAAGUCUAUGAUCAGGACGAAGAGCGAGUUGAGAGGAGUUUGUUAGACCAAUCUGAACUGGAUAUCAGCAAGUGCAAUUAUAUCUUGAUGGUGGCAAGGGGAGGGCAAUGUCGUGCACCGAUAUUGCGCAGACUGCGAGAAGAAGCUAAGAAUUCUGGAUAUAUUCGAGCAGGUAAAUAAGAGCUUGAUUAUUGUGUUAAUUAUUCACUUUAGUUGAAUGUUUUUCCUUUAAAUGUUUUGGAUGAUGGGAUCUUCCAUGACGAUCAAGGGGGUUCCCACAAACCUAUUGUGCUCAGAGUUCUGAUUCUCGGUAGCAGAGUUCAUUGGCAGUGCCACGGACCAUGCCCAGGAUCUCCUUUGUUCUCAUGGUCCAGCUAUGCAAGGCCCGAAGAGGAAGGUAGGGUGAAAAGAAAUGAGUGAAUAAACUUUUGAUCCAUGAUGGACCUUGAUGUUUUAAUGCUGUAUUCAAUACAUUAGUAUGAGAGAUUGUUUUAUCCUGUGUAAUAGGGACAUGUGUGUCUUUUUUUUUUUUUUUGCCGCAUCGACGCGUA